CCUGAGAAACCCAAAAGAUCGAAUGGGGAGAUUCAGCGUCAGCGCAUUUGGUAUAUGUGCAGAUUGCGAUGUGAGUUAUCCUUAUGGGAUAAUACUUGCACGUAUUUGUAUCAUUUAAUUGCUAAAUGUCGUCGGCGUGCACUUCUCCCCUAGUAGGACGUCGCGACCCGUUGGGUGUCGGUCUACGGCCCAGAUGGUAGUCUUUGAUGUUUGCCGCAAGGUAUUGAUGUUGAAGACCACUGGUGUUUCCUGACCGGCUGCCCGGCGGUAUUCGCACGGUAUUAAGCCGCUAUUUGUUAUGCGUCAAACUCACCACAAGCAUGAUUAGCGUUUUUCCUGGUAUACGGACUUUGUGCCGUCGCUAGGCCUAAUCAGCUGUUAGUUGUGUGAUGUUCUUUGACUGGCUUGAUAAUAAUAAUAAUACCGGUCGGCGACGCUAUGCUUUGG
This 447-nucleotide ribosomal RNA is filed under the name Schizoprymnus sp. Its description in RNAcentral is "eukaryotic LSU rRNA". The record is from RNAcentral. Lineage: Eukaryota; Metazoa; Arthropoda; Insecta; Hymenoptera; Braconidae.